AUUGAACGCUGGCGGCGUGCUUAACACAUGCAAGUCGUGCGGUAACAGGCGUAGCAAUACGUGCUGACGAGCGGCGAACGGGUGCGUAAUACAUGGGAAUCUGCCUUUUAGUGGGGAAUAACCCGGCGAAAGCCGGGCUAAUGCCGCAUAAGAUCUUCGGAUGAAAGCGGGGGGAUCGUAAGACCUCGCGCUGAUAGAUGAGCCCAUGCCGGAUUAGCAGUUGGUGAGGUAACGGCUCACCAAGGCGACGAUCCGUAGCUGGUCUGAGAGGACGGCCAGCCACACUGGGACUGAGACACGGCCCAGACUCCUACGGGAGGCAGCAGUGGGGAAUAUUGGACAAGUGGGGAAACCCUGAUCCAGCGACGCCGCGUGUGUGAAGAAGGCCUGGCGGGUUGUAAAGC
This 404-nucleotide ribosomal RNA is filed under the name uncultured bacterium. RNAcentral's name for it is "bacterial SSU rRNA". It matches the Rfam family "Bacterial small subunit ribosomal RNA", at positions 29 to 431 of the family's 1533-position model. The record is from RNAcentral.